CCUGCCUUUGGUGAGGACUCGGGAGGUGGAGGGUGGCCUCUUGAGGGCCGGGCGUUGUCUCAGUUCGCUUCUUCCCCCCACCUCCUCUCUCCUCAGGUGCGGCUGCAG
This 108-nucleotide microRNA precursor is filed under the name Dasypus novemcinctus (nine-banded armadillo). RNAcentral's name for it is "microRNA 1224 (ENSDNOG00000027236.2)". The stretch from base 11 to 96 matches the Rfam family "mir-1224 microRNA precursor family". The record is from RNAcentral. Lineage: Eukaryota; Metazoa; Chordata; Mammalia; Cingulata; Dasypodidae.